AGGGAAUCUUCCACAAUGGACGCAAGUCUGAUGGAGCAACGCCGCGUGAGUGAAGAAGGUUUUCGGACCGUAAAGCUCUGUUGUUGGUGAAGAAGGAUAGAGGUAGUAACUGGCCUUUAUUUGACGGUAAUCAACCAGAAAGUCACGGCUAACUACGUGCCAGCAGCCGCGGUAAUACGUAGGUGGCAAGCGUUGUCCGGAUUUAUUGGGCGUAAAGCGAGCGCAGGCGGAAGAAUAAGUCUGAUGUGAAAGCCCUCGGCUUAACCGAGGAAUUGCAUCGGAAACUGUUUUCUUGAGUGCAGAAGAGGAGAGUAGAACUCCAUGUGUAGCGGUGGAAUGCGUAGAUAUAUGGAAGAAUACCAGUGGCGAAGGCGGCUCUCUGGUCUGCAACUGACGCUGAGGCUCGAAAGCAUGGGUAGCGAACAGGAUUAGAUACCCUGGUAGUCCAUGCCGUAAACGAUGAGUGCUAAGUGUUGGGGGGCCUUCCGCCUCUCAGUGCUGCAGCUAACGCAUUAAGCACUCCGCCUGGGGGAGUACGACCGCAAGGUUGAAAC
This 554-nucleotide ribosomal RNA is filed under the name uncultured bacterium. Its description in RNAcentral is "partial 16S ribosomal RNA". It matches the Rfam family "Bacterial small subunit ribosomal RNA", at positions 356 to 900 of the family's 1533-position model. The record is from RNAcentral.